CCAGCUUUAGCAUAUUGUUUGCUCUUUUCAUUCAACAAUAUGUCUACAUAGUUUGCCUCAUAGUUUCUUCUUUUGAGAAAUAGCUUCUCUAUUUCUUCAUGUGCAUGUUCAACAAAUCAUCAGCAUUUACUCCUUUCUCACACAUUUGUAAGCUGUACCUGCUGUCCAGUACAUUUGUGCUCUAUAUUAAUCAUGUCCAUCACAUUUUUAGAGAACUGAUGUGUAAAUUAUGAGCUAAGUUUCAAAUUUUUAGACUGUUCAAGUAAACGUUCUGUCCAAGUAAGACAAGAAGAGGUUAAUCAAUAGGAGCGUGCUUGGAAGAAGCUGGAUUUAGGAGCCUUUUC
This 344-nucleotide long non-coding RNA is filed under the name Elaeis guineensis (African oil palm). RNAcentral describes it as "long non-coding RNA (EGUI_LNC023702)". Lineage: Eukaryota; Viridiplantae; Streptophyta; Magnoliopsida; Arecales; Arecaceae. The record is from RNAcentral.